CAAAAGGCCCUUGUUACUGGCUACUAAGGAAAAGAUCCACAGGGAGGUGGCAAGCGGCGACACUAGGGUGAGAGAACAGAGUCUCAAGGAACGGCGCUGAGACAGAGACCCACGGGAAGGAACGGCGCUGAGACAGAGACCCACGGGAAGGAACGGUGCUGGGACAGAGAUCCACGGGAAGGAACGGCGCUGAGACAGAGGUCCAUGGGAAGGAACCGCACUGAGACAGAGAUCCACCGGAAGGAACGGUGCUGGGACAGAGAUCCACGGGAAGGAACCGCACUGAGACAGAGAUCCACCGGAAGGAACGACGCUGGGACAGAGAUCCACGGGAAGGAACGGCGCUGAGACAGAGAUCCACGGGAAGGAACAGCGCUGGGACAGAGAUCCACGGGAAGGAACGGCGCUGGGACAGAGACCCACGGGAAGGUGGGAAAUGGUGGCUUUAGGGUAGGAGAACAGGCCAUGGGCAGGACCCACAACAGACUCCCAAGCAGCAGCAUCCUGUACCCUGCUACCCCAUUUCUCUGUGCUGGGGAGUGCCAAGGGAGGCAGCACAUAUGGAGCUCCACUUGGAUCUUGAAGUGAUAAUGCCCUUCAAAGGAACCAUGACAUGUGACUAUAGGAAGCCAGGACCCAUUCUUGGAUCCUCAUCUGGCUUCUCUAUGACCCAUACCACACUGUUGUGUGUCAUGUUUUCAUGUUGGGGAUUUUUCUGAUCCAAGACCUGAACAAUAUGGUUCCAACCAAAGGACCCAGCCUGAUUAGGCCUAUGCAAUUGAGAGGACCAUCCACCCUAGUCCUAACCGACCAGAGCUAGGGUCAUCUGUUCCUACUAAGAAAUCGCCAGCUGGACCAACGCCUCUCUCAGUUCUGAGGAUCUCAGCUACUGAAGACACAGCCACUCUGACACCCCACAGGAUAGCAGGCUUGCUGAGGAGAGAGGCAACACAGAGCCAAGCUACUCCCAGGUACACGACAGUCAACUCAAACCCUCUUGACUUUGCCUAGCUGUGGGGUACCUUCUUUGAGGGGCUUCUGUAUAUACUGAAGAAAUGUAAAGUAACUCCCAUGGCAGAAGAAAGAAGCUCGUCAUUGUUUGAUUUUAUUACUUCUGUGAAGGGACCUAUGAUGUCAACAUUAGCAUUCUUGGCAAAAACAAAACAAAAAACCCAGGAGCAAAAUAUCUGUUUCUUUGAUUUCUCAGGAGAGAAAAGUCAGAACAAACAAAUAAACAAAA
Long non-coding RNA from Mesocricetus auratus (golden hamster), 1240 nucleotides. RefSeq lists it as uncharacterized. NCBI's taxonomy places the organism in Eukaryota, Metazoa, Chordata, Mammalia, Rodentia, Cricetidae. The transcript is spliced from 3 exons. The record is from RefSeq and is a predicted model, not a curated record.